GAAGGGUGCAAGCGUUACUCGGAAUUACUGGGCGUAAAGCGUGCGUAGGUGGUUCGUUAAGUCUGUCGUGAAAGCCCCGGGCUCAACCUGGGAAUGGCGACGGAUACUGGCGGGCUAGAGUGCGGUAGAGGAGAGUGGAAUUCCCGGUGUAGCAGUGAAAUGCGUAGAGAUCGGGAGGAAUAUCAGUUGCGAAGGCGGCUCUCUGGAUCAGCACUGACACUGAGGCACGAAAGCGUGGGGAGCAAACAGGAUUAGAUACCCUGGUAGUCCACGCCCUAAACGAUGCGAACUGGACGUUGGGAGCAACUAGGCUCUCAGUGUCGAAGCUAACGCGUUAAGUUCGCCGCCUGGGGAGUACGGUCGCAAGACUG
This 371-nucleotide ribosomal RNA is filed under the name uncultured bacterium. Its description in RNAcentral is "bacterial SSU rRNA". It matches the Rfam family "Bacterial small subunit ribosomal RNA", at positions 527 to 896 of the family's 1533-position model. The record is from RNAcentral.